RNAcentral lists this ribosomal RNA (440 nucleotides) under uncultured bacterium. Its description in RNAcentral is "partial 16S ribosomal RNA". It matches the Rfam family "Bacterial small subunit ribosomal RNA", at positions 338 to 795 of the family's 1533-position model. The record is from RNAcentral.
CCUACGGGAGGCAGCAGUGGGGAAUAUUGCACAAUGGGGGAAACCCUGAUGCAGCGACGCCGCGUGAGUGAAGAAGUAUUUCGGUAUGUAAAGCUCUGUCAGCAGGGAAGAAAAUGACGGUACCUGACCAAGAAGCCCCGGCUAACUACGGGCCAGCAGCCGCGGUAAUACGUAGGGGGCAAGCGUGAUCCGGAGUUACUGGGUGUAAAGGGAGCGUAGACGGCAGGGCAAGUCUGGAGGGAAAGGCGGGGGCUCAACCCCCGGACUGCCCUUGAAACUGCCAGGCUGGAGUGGAGGAGAGGUAAGUGGAAUUCCUGGUGUAGCGGUGAAAUGCGUAGAUAUUAGGAGGAACACCAGUGGCGAAGGCGGCUUACUGGACUGUAACUGACGCUGAGGCACGAAAGCGUGGGGAGCAAACAGGAUUAGAUACCCUGGUAGUC